This 253-nucleotide ribosomal RNA is filed under the name uncultured bacterium. RNAcentral describes it as "partial 16S ribosomal RNA". It matches the Rfam family "Bacterial small subunit ribosomal RNA", at positions 524 to 776 of the family's 1533-position model. The record is from RNAcentral.
UACGGGGGGUGCAAACGUUGCUCGGAAUUAUUGGGCGUAAAGAGCUCGUAGGCGGCCUGUCGCGUCGGUUGUGAAAGCCCGGGGCUUAACCCCGGGUCUGCAGUCGAUACGGGCAGGCUAGAGUUCGGUAGGGGAGAUCGGAAUUCCUGGUGUAGCGGUGAAAUGCGCAGAUAUCAGGAGGAACACCGGUGGCGAAGGCGGAUCUCUGGGCCGAUACUGACGCUGAGGAGCGAAAGCGUGGGGAGCGAACAGG